AUGAUUUUCAAAAUCUUACUCCUGUUUCUAAGUGUCAAUUGCGAAGCCUUACCGGAUAAUUAUAUGAAGGAAAUCAAAUCAGAAGAGAUCACACGAUACGGUGUUUGGUAUGGAUACGUGCACUGUAAUGAAGGAGAAUAUGCAGGAGGGAUGCAGUCCAAGUUUUCGGAAAUUCAUGUCCAUUCGUUUUGGUCGUUUUUCAACUUUUUCGAUAACACUGGGCUCAAUGCUGUGAGGCUUUACUGUCAGAGAAUUGGAGCAAGUAAUUCGACCAACGGAUCCUUAAAUCCAAUAAUGAGUGGAGAAGGUGCUGAUGGAAAAUGGGGAGAAGUUAAAUGGUGUCCAAAUGGUACAGUAAUCACUGGCUUCUCGUUGAAAUCAGUGCCAGAUCGUGGGCCAUUCAAGGAUGAUCUGGGAGCCACCUCAUUCCGUGUGUAUUGUGGAAACCCGUUUGAAGGUCGGAGCACAAAAUUGCUCUUGGAAAGUGACAAAAAUGAGUGGGGUACUUGGACUGGCGAUCAAUUUUGUGAUAAGGGUUUCGCGGUGUGUGGAAUCAAGAGUCAAGUUGAAGCUCGGGCAAAAGAUACGACGGCUCUGAAUAAUGUAAACCUGCACUGCUGCCCAGUAUCCGAAGAUGUUAAACUAACAAGUUGUACUCCGAACCUUGUGGCGAUUAGGAUUGAUACUCUGGAUAAUAGACGCGGUGACACCAAACUAGUCAGAGAGCAUCUUGUCACUAAAUCCUAUACACGUACCAACCAGGACACGAAGACGUUGAGUAAAGAGGAGAAGACUUCGUUUUAUAGAAACUAAGCUAUUGUUCGACGCAGCUCCCGGAACAGUGUCAGAUGUCUACCAACUAGUUAUCCAGUGCGGAGGUGUUCAGCUCGAACUACAAAAAGUUUUCCAAAUUAGCUCGAAAAAGCCCGGUUCCUCUUCAUCGCUACUAGGCCUGUCGAUGGGUGCCACAAUCCUUAUACUUCUCGCUGCAGCUGUGCUUCUAAUAUUUCUGAUUAUUUUAUCAGUUUUCCUGGUUAGUAGGAUUCGGGUGAAACGCGAUCGAUCAAAAAUGAGCAGGACUGGUGAAGGAGCAAAACGAGUUUCAAAGACCAAGACGGGGACGCCAAUAAAGGAAAUUGGAAGUGUGAAGAAGAUUCGAUGUUUGAAACAUAAAUGA
Molecule: unclassified non-coding RNA, 1177 nt
Filed under: Caenorhabditis elegans
Lineage: Eukaryota; Metazoa; Nematoda; Chromadorea; Rhabditida; Rhabditidae
Description: Non-coding transcript of protein-coding gene Y39F10C.1d
Source: RNAcentral